AGAAGGCAAGACUCAGGGAUGGACUCCACCAUGGCCUGGUCCCCUCUCCUGCUCAGCCUCCUGGCUCACUGCACAGGCUCCUGGGUCCAGGCUGUGCUGACUCAGCCACCCUCAGUGUCUGGGAACCCAGGACAGACUGUCACCAUCUCCUGCACUGGAAGCAGCACCAACAUCGGGCGUGGUUCCCAUGUCGGCUGGCACCAACAGGUCCCAGGAAAACCCCCUAAAACCGUCAUCCUUAGUACUAGCAGUAGACCCUUGGGGAUCCCUGACCGCUUCUCUGGAUCCAAGUCUGGCAGCAUGGGCACCCUGACCAUCACUGGGCUCCAGGCUGAGGACGAGGCCGACUAUUACUGUUCAGCAUGGGAUAAUAGUGUCAGUGCUCCCACAGUGCUGCAGGGCCGUGGGGAAGUGAGACAAAAACCUGCUGUCCCCUGCAAUCCCAGGGAGAGGCCUGUGUCCUGGCUGAACCAGCCCCGAAGCACCUCGGGCUGUGGCCGGCAGUUGGUGCUGGGAAAUGACCACGUGUGA
Molecule: non-coding RNA, 531 nt
Organism: Phyllostomus discolor (pale spear-nosed bat)
Lineage: Eukaryota; Metazoa; Chordata; Mammalia; Chiroptera; Phyllostomidae
Source: the annotation of a RefSeq genome assembly